This 100-nucleotide non-coding RNA is filed under the name bovine gut metagenome. RNAcentral's name for it is "THF riboswitch". It matches the Rfam family "THF (Tetrahydrofolate) riboswitch aptamer". From Rfam's summary of the family: THF riboswitch presents a pseudoknot that joins P1-P2 and the loop of P3 and two THF binding. The record is from RNAcentral.
GCAGAGUAGAAUUUUCCGCGUCAAGUGCCGGCUGAACAGGGAGUUGUCAGCCGGACGAAAGAUCCCCUGGAUCUGCGGUGGAAAGUUCGCAUCCCGCUGC